UACGUAGGGUCCGAGCGUUGUCCGGAAUUACUGGGCGUAAAGAGCUCGUAGGUGGUUUGUCGCGUUGUUCGUGAAAACUCACAGCUUAACUGUGGGCGUGCGGGCGAUACGGGCAGACUAGAGUGAUGUAGGGGAGACUGGAAUUCCUGGUGUAGCGGUGAAAUGCGCAGAUAUCAGGAGGAACACCCGUGGCUAAGGCGGCUCUCUAGUACGGUACUGACGCUGAGACGCGAAAAGCGUGGGGAGCGAACAGG
RNAcentral lists this ribosomal RNA (254 nucleotides) under uncultured bacterium. RNAcentral describes it as "partial 16S ribosomal RNA". It matches the Rfam family "Bacterial small subunit ribosomal RNA", at positions 524 to 776 of the family's 1533-position model. The record is from RNAcentral.